This is a long non-coding RNA of Dermochelys coriacea (leatherback sea turtle), 788 nucleotides long. RefSeq lists it as uncharacterized. The record is from RefSeq and is a predicted model, not a curated record. The transcript has 3 exons. Lineage: Eukaryota; Metazoa; Chordata; Testudines; Dermochelyidae.
CAUAGCGGCUUCUACACCAGCUUUUCUUCGUGGAUGCCAGCAUACGGGGUGUAGCUUUCGUUCUUAUAAACCCCAGCAAUCCUCAGCUGCUUUCAUCACCUUUUAGAGCUAUUGAAUUGGGAGCUAUUGGGAAUGGUUACAGUAGCUUUUACAUUGCUCCAACUUGUAACUGGACUGGCCCAGAACAAAGUAGCUCCAGGACUGGAGGAGCAAACCAUCUGUUUCAAUGCAUUGUGAUAAUAAAGUCCAUUAUCCUCCAUGAUUUUCUGCUGUUUGUUCUGCCUGGGGCUGAGAGUGGGGGCCCGGAGCUCUCACUGUCAAAAUUGCAGUGGAGGCCUAAUAUUGCAGAAUCCGCAAAAUCACUAGGAAAACACUAUGCAUGUGUUGUGAGGGGCACAGGCUGCACCUUGACAUUCAUAUUGUGGACGUUGUGGCAGACUACCUUCUAAAAUUGGUGUCAGAUCAACUCUAUGCCUCUAUUCCUGGAGAGUGUUUGGCCAAGUACUACCUCCUGUGGGUAGCACAGCUCAAGAUGGAUGCUAAGAAGUGGGGGCUUCAAGUCUUGUUCUACAGAAAGGAGAUCCAGCUGAGUCCCAGACAGUUCUCCUCUCCUUUCUCAUUUAGUGGAGCCCCAUUGGAAGUACAGAUUAUAAGAGACAGGAAGGAAACAUGGAAAGGCAUUAGGAGAUGUGACACAAAGGCCCAUUUGUGGUUCUCCACUAUGGUCAUGUUUACCAUAAGUUAAGUCGACAUUAUGUAAGUCGCCAACAAGCCUCUGAUUUAAGCAA